ACAUCGCGAUCGAAUUACGUCAGUAGGCAAUUACGAUAAUUCUAUUUUAACGAUCGGCCACUUAGCUCGGCUAGCUACAGAAAGCUCGGUGAUAUGCAGGUGAUGCUAUAACUAAAUUUCUUAUGUACCGAGUAAUCAAGUUAUUCGCUACGUAUUCGAAAUUCCCGUUAUACUCUUAUAAAUUUGUUUUCCAAGGACGAUAUAGCUUUUAUAUGUUGAACGCCGCUAUACCAUAUGGUAAAACUGUUUACUCUUUGUUUAUCUGGAAACACAACGAGGAUCAUAUUUUAAACGUUUUAUAAUGUGUAAAUGAAAUGUGAGAAACGUAUCACUACUUCUCGAUUAUCACCUUGCGGGAUAAUUAAAUACAAAUCAUUCAUACAAAAAGUUUAACGAAUUA
This 400-nucleotide unclassified non-coding RNA is filed under the name Bombus terrestris (buff-tailed bumblebee). Its description in RNAcentral is "misc RNA ENSBTSG00005021814.1". Lineage: Eukaryota; Metazoa; Arthropoda; Insecta; Hymenoptera; Apidae. The record is from RNAcentral.